This 159-nucleotide ribosomal RNA is filed under the name Acacia aulacocarpa. RNAcentral describes it as "5.8S ribosomal RNA". It matches the Rfam family "5.8S ribosomal RNA". From Rfam's summary of the family: 5.8S ribosomal RNA (5.8S rRNA) is a component of the large subunit of the eukaryotic ribosome. Lineage: Eukaryota; Viridiplantae; Streptophyta; Magnoliopsida; Fabales; Fabaceae. The record is from RNAcentral.
CGUCUCUCGGCAACGGAUAUCUCGGCUCUCGCAUCGAUGAAGAACGUAGCGAAAUGCGAUACUUGGUGUGAAUUGCAGAAUCCCGUGAACCAUCGAGUCUUUGAACGCAAGUUGCGCCCGAAGCCGUCAGGCCGAGGGCACGCCUGCCUGGGUGUCACG